This 448-nucleotide ribosomal RNA is filed under the name uncultured bacterium. Its description in RNAcentral is "bacterial SSU rRNA". It matches the Rfam family "Bacterial small subunit ribosomal RNA", at positions 355 to 825 of the family's 1533-position model. The record is from RNAcentral.
UCGGGAAUUUUGGGCAAUGGGGGAAACCCUGACCCAGCAACGCCGCGUGAAGGAUGAAGUAUUUCGGUAUGUAAACUUCGAAAGAAUAGGAAGAAUAAAUGACGGUACUAUUUUAUAAGGUCCGGCUAACUACGUGCCAGCAGCCGCGGUAAUACGUAGGGACCAAGCGUUGUUCGGAUUUACUGGGCGUAAAGGGCGCGUAGGCGGCAUGACAAGUCACUUGUGAAAUCUCUGGGCUUAACCCAGAACGGCCAAGUGAUACUGUCGCGCUAGAGUGCAGAAGGGGCAAUCGGAAUUCUUGGUGUAGCGGUGAAAUGCGUAGAUAUCAAGAGGAACACCUGAGGUGAAGACGGGUUGCUGGGCUGACACUGACGCUGAGGCGCGAAAGCCAGGGGAGCAAACGGGAUUAGAUACCCUGGUAGUCCCUGAGCGGGCUGGCAAGGCGCAU